AAGAUUCUUCAAGGAGGAAAUCACAAUUUAGGAUACUCUAUUAAGUACUGUAGCUUUCAACUUGUGUUCUGUUUUUGAAUUUCUCCCACCAAAGUGAAGGUUGAGACUCAUCAUAGUAAUGGCUGCAACUCUCAAUGGUAGCACCAUCGUUCAAUCGAAGACUGUUUCAUCUAGAACGCUAGCAAGUCCUCGCAUUCUCUCAAGAAUAUCUUCUCCUGCAAGUGAUAUCCCUGGCACGGUGAA
Long non-coding RNA from Telopea speciosissima, 243 nucleotides. RefSeq lists it as uncharacterized. Lineage: Eukaryota; Viridiplantae; Streptophyta; Magnoliopsida; Proteales; Proteaceae. The record is from RefSeq and is a predicted model, not a curated record. The transcript has 3 exons.